Molecule: ribosomal RNA, 2576 nt
Filed under: soda lake metagenome
Description: bacterial LSU rRNA
Rfam family: Archaeal large subunit ribosomal RNA
Source: RNAcentral
ACAUGGCUACUGUGCCAUCUGGUGAAUGGCUCGGCUCGAGAGCCGACGACGGACGUGCCAAGCUGCGAAAAGCCCGAGGGAGCCGCACGGAGGCAAAGAACUCGGGAUCUCCGAAUGGGAAUCCCCACCGCAAUUGCUUCGCGCAAUGGGGAACGCCGGGAACUGAAACAUCUUAGUACCGGCAGGAAAAGAACGCAACCGCGAUGACGUUAGUAAUGGCGAAUGAACGCGUCCCAGUCCAAACCGAAGCCCUCACGGGCAAUGUGGUGUUCGGACUGACAUGCACUUUCGGAACCGCGACACGAAGUCUCCUGGAACGGAGCGUGAAACAGGGUGACAACCCCGUAAUGUCGAUCAGUACGAAACGCGUCAGUACCAGAGUAGCGGGGAUUGGACAUUCCUCGUGAACACAGCAGGCAUCAACUGCUAAGACUAAACACUCCUCGAGACCGAUAGCGAACAAGUAGCGUGAGCGAACGCUGCAAAGCACCCCACGAAGGGAAGUGCAAGAGGGCCUGAAUUCAGAUGGCGAUAGAGCGACGUGGCACAAAAGGUCUCACCAAGAACGACCCGUGUGCGAACACGCAGUAGAAUUGGUGAGAAGCCGGUGUUGCGUCGUACGUUUUGAAAAACGACCCAGGGAGUGUAUCUGGAUGACGAGUCUAACCCGUUCCGCGGGGAAGGCGCAGGGAAACCGACAUGGCCGCAGUCUUACGACGAGGGCCGCCGUGUUCAAGCGCGGGGAGUCAUCCGGAUACGACCCGAAACCAGGCGAUCUAGUCGCGAACAAGGUGAAGCGUGGCGAAAGCUGCGUGGAGGCCUGACGCGUUGGUGUUUUACAAUACCCUCGUAUGAUUUACGACUAGGGGUGAAAGGCCCAUCGAGCCUGGCAACAGCUGGUUCCGACCGAAACAUGCCGAAGCAUGAUCUCCACAGAGAUCGCAGGCGCGGUAGAGCUACCGAUUGGACGACCCGCCCUCGAGAGAGGUCGGCCGUGCUGUCGAACUCCAAACGUGCUUGCAUCAUGGACGUGGGGAGUCCGGUCUGCGGGGUAAGCCUGUAGACCGUGAGGGAGACAACCCAGAGUCGGGUUAAGGACCCAAAGUGUGGACUAAGUGCGAUCGAAGGUAGUCUCGAGCCCUAAACAGCCGGGAGGUGAGCUUAGAAGCAGCUACCCUCUAAGAAAAGCGUAACAGCUUACCGGCCGAGGUUCGAGGCGCCGAAAAUGAUCGGGGCUCAAGUCCACCUCCGAGACCUGACCGCACCCAUCACAUGGGUGAUCGCGUAGGUCGGCGCAGCACGCGGGUGGAAGCACGGGUGAGAACUCGUGUGGACCGCGUGGUGACGACAAUCCUGGUCACAGUAGCAGCGAAAGUCGGGUGAGAACCCCGACGGCCUCAAGGGUAAGGGUUCCUCGGCACUGUCAUUCAGCCGAGGGUUAGUCGAUCCUAAGGUCAGUCGUAAGUCGAACUGAUCGAAGAGGGAAACUGGUUAAUAUUCCAGUACCAUCACACGGUAAAAGUCGACGCUUCAGAGACCAUCGAACCGGGCUUUCGCCCGGUCAAAUCGAGGAAGAUCGUGGACGCCGUAACGGCAGGAAGCGAUUGAAGCUCGAGAUAGCGCAAGUCGAUGUUAUCCGGAGCCCGUGAAAAGACGAGUGUGAUGACCGUACCGAGAACCGACACAGGUGCCCACCCGGAGAAAGGGAAGGCCUGUCGGGAGCAACCGACGUUAGGGAAUUCGGCAAUAUUAGUCCCGUACGUUCGCAAUAAGGGAUGCCUGCCUUUGACGAGGCAGGUCGCAGUGACUUGGGCGCUCCGACUGUCUAGUAACAACACAGGUGACCGCAAAUCCGCAAGGACUCGUACGGUCACUGAAUCCUGCCCAGUGCGGGUAUCUGAACACCUGGUACAACAGGACGAAGGACCCGUCAACGGCGGGGGUAACUAUGACCCUCUUAAGGUAGCGUAGUACCUUGCCGCUUCAGUAGCGGCUUGCAUGAAUGGAUGAACGAGAGCGCCGCUGUCCCAACGUUGGGCCCGGUGAACUGCACAUUCCAGUGCGGAGUCUGGAGACCCCCAAGGGGAAGCGAAGACCCUAUAGAGCUUUACUGCAGGCUGUCGCUGGGACGUGGUCGCCGAUGUGCAGCAUAGGUAGGAGUCGUUACACAGGUACGUGCGCCAGCACGCCACCGAGACGCCAGUGAAAUACUACCCGUCGGUGACUGCGACCCUCACUCCUGCCGGAGGACACCGGUAGCCGGGCAGUUUGACUGGGGCGGUACGCGCUUGAAAAGAUAUCGAGCGCGCCCGAAGAUCACCUCAUCCGGGUCGGGAAUCCGGAGACGAGCGCAAGAGCAAACGGUGGUCUGACAGUGUUCUUCCCAACGAGGAACGCUGACGCGAAAGCGUGGUCUAGCGAACCACCGAGGCUUCUCGAUGAGGCCCGGUGCUGACAGAAAAGCUACCUUAGGGAUAACAGAGUCGUCACUCGCAAGAGCACAUAUCGACCGAGUGGCUUGCUACCUCGAUGUCGGUUCCCUCCAUCCUGCCCGUGCAGAAGCGGGCAAGGGUGAG